CCAGUUACAAAUUAGUUUUUACUGUUACCAUGGUACAGUAAACAUAUCUGGCAAUAUUGUAACAUUCAUAACUAGUUGGCUUGUAGUCACAUAACAAAUACAACUGGUUUGCUACUAUUCCUUAAUUUUGGUGGUUCCUCAUCCAUCGCCUCCAUCACACUUGAUAUCAACUUGACAUGAAAUCCAUAGCAAUCAGUGAUAAUUGAAUCUGUUUAUGAUAAAGCAAUUACAUUUCUUUGCAAUGAAAAGUUCCUACUACUUUCAACCUUUACUACUUCUAGAUUAUUAUGUUACCAGCUACCUCUCUGUAGCUCACAUCUCCUAUUUGGAAUAUUAUUAGUACCACAAUAAAUAAUAUUAAUAGUAACCCUACUAUUAAUGUAUGUUUUAAUUAAUGUCAUCUAAUACAUAGUAUGUCAGUCAUUCUCAGCGAUAUCAGAAAAGAAUAGCUCCAGCUGAUGAAAUGGGUUGCAUUACUAGAUGGUGUAUGUUAACAAUUCAUUACAUUGCUUUUGCAGAACAUUGUUCUGGAGUGCUUAGGAGUGCUUAGCCAGACUGAGGGAAAGACUGCAGUGUGCCCUCAACAACAACCCUCCUGAUCUUGAUUAUUUGGAAUACAUAGUGACCCAAGAGAGGACCUUCAUAAAUGCAAUGGAGAAUGUAGCUCUGCCUAAUGAUAUCUGUGAAGCCAUCCAUCAACUGAGCAGUUUGUUAGACCUGCAGAAUAAACCUCCCCCCUCAAUAUCUGUGGUGAGGAAUAUAGGUCCCCGUGGACGUUUUAGACUACAGGUCACAGAGGACCACCUCCAAAGUCUUCUUCAUCUAGGUCUACCUGCCACAUGUGUAGCAGACAUUCUUGGAGUCUCAAGAAGAACCAUAUACAGGAGGAUGUAGGAGUACAACAUGUCAGUUAGGAGCCUGUAUUCUACCAUGACUGAUGAUGCUCUGGAUAAUGAAGUGAGAGCCAUCAAAUCUAGACUACCUCAUGCUGGAUACCAGAUUGUCAAGGGGUGUCUUGAAGCAGAGGGCCACCAUGUACAAUGGACCAGACUCAAGGCCUCUAUGCAUAGAGUUGAUACAGAGGGCAUCUUGUCAAGAAUGACAAGUAUGGGCUGUGUUGUUCGGCGAAAAUACUGUGUUCAAGGCCCACAUUUUCUGCAGCACAUAGACACCAAUCAUAAACUCAUUAGAUAUAACAUGGUGAUAUUCGGUGGCAUCGAUGGCUAAUCGAGGAAGAUCAUGUACCUCAAUGCUGGGUCCAACAACACAUUGAGUACUGCGCUUCAGUUUUUUCUGGAUGGAGUGAGGAGAUUUGGAUGGCCUUACAAGGUAAGAGGUGACCAGGGUGUUGAAAAUGUCAGCAUUGCCCAGAUGAUGUUCACUGUGAGAGGCACAGGAUAUGGAAGCUUUAUAAGUGGAAAAAGCGUGCACAACCAGAGGUGAAUUAUUCCUUUUGCAAUGAUUAUCAAAUUACCUCAAGAUCCAAGUAGGUACAUGACAUGUCUUGUUAUUGUUGGUGUGCCCUUCAGUGUGAUAUUUACUCCAGUUGAAUUGCUGUUUGGCUAUUCUUUUAGAUAGUUUGAUUGACCCAUGGGGAACUUUUCUAUGUACGAAUUGUAGAAUCGAACGUCUGUGGAGGGACGUUUGGACAGGAGUUACUCACAUUUACUAUGACGUAUUACACAGCCUGGAGGAAGAUGGAUCCCUCGACAUCUCGGAUAAUCUCCAUCUCUUCUGUGCUCAGUACACCUUCCUCCCAAGACUCAAGAAUGAUUUGGCCAAGUUUUCUGCUGGAUGGAACAAUCAUCCUAUCAGGACAGAGGGCAUCCUUACCCCAAACCAGCUGUGGGAGCUUGGGAUGCUGCAGCACCCCAUCCGCGAGCCAGAGACGUUAGAGGAAAAUGUGGAAUCCAAAUUGAGGAUAUUGAUUGGGAGAGCUCAGGGCUCUCUCAUAACUCUGCCAACACAGGUGUUAACGUGCCAGAAAUGGAAUGUCCAUUGAAGACCGAGGACAUUGAAACUCUACGCCUUGCCAUUGAUCCCCUUUCUCAUUCAAAUAGUUUUGGAAGAGACAUUUAUUUGACCACACUCGCACAUGCAUUGUACCUACUUCACCAUCAUUGACAGUCAUGUCUGUGCCAAUCAGAGGA
Molecule: long non-coding RNA, 2150 nt
Organism: Sander lucioperca (pikeperch)
Lineage: Eukaryota; Metazoa; Chordata; Actinopteri; Perciformes; Percidae
Exons: 5
Source: RefSeq, a predicted model, not a curated record